GAGUUUGAUCCUGGCUCAGAUUGAACGCUGGCGGCAUGCUUUACACAUGCAAGUCGGACGGCAGCACAGAGAAGCUUGCUUCUUGGGUGGCGAGUGGCGAACGGGUGAGUAACAUAUCGGAACGUACCGAGCAGUGGGGGAUAACUAAUCGAAAGAUUAGCUAAUACCGCAUAUUUUCUGAGGAAGAAAGCAGGGGACCAUUUGGCCUUGCGCUGUUUGAGCGGCCGAUAUCUGAUUAGCUAGUUGGUGGGGUAAAGGCCUACCAAGGCGACGAUCAGUAGCGGGUCUGAGAGGAUGAUCCGCCACACUGGGACUGAGGCACGGCCCAGACUCCUACGGGAGGCAGCAGUGGGGAAUUUUGGACAAUGGGCGCAAGCCUGAUCCAGCCAUGCCGCGUGUCUGAAGAAGGCCUUCGGGUUGUAAAGGACUUUUGUCAGGGAAGAAAAGGGCGGGGUUAAUACCCCUGUCUGAUGACGGUACCUGAAGAAUAAGCACCGGCUAACUACGUGCCAGCAGCCGCGGUAAUACGUAGGGUGCGAGCGUUAAUCGGAAUUACUGGGCGUAAAGCGGGCGCAGACGGUUACUUAAGCAGGAUGUGAAAUCCCCGGGCUCAACCUGGGAACUGCGUUCUGAACUGGGUGACUAGAGUGUGUCAGAGGGAGGUAGAAUUCCACGUGUAGCAGUGAAAUGCGUAGAGAUGUGGAGGAAUACCGAUGGCGAAGGCAGCCUCCUGGGAUAACACUGACGUUCAUGCCCGAAA
This 760-nucleotide ribosomal RNA is filed under the name uncultured bacterium. RNAcentral's name for it is "bacterial SSU rRNA". It matches the Rfam family "Bacterial small subunit ribosomal RNA", at positions 9 to 758 of the family's 1533-position model. The record is from RNAcentral.